CCUGAUCCCAUCCCGAACUCAGUAGUGAAACGAUGCAUCGCCGAUGGUAGUGUGGGGUUUCCCCAUGUGAGAGUAGGUCAUCGUCAAGC
Molecule: ribosomal RNA, 89 nt
Filed under: Pseudomonas sp.
Lineage: Bacteria; Pseudomonadati; Pseudomonadota; Gammaproteobacteria; Pseudomonadales; Pseudomonadaceae
Source: RNAcentral